GUCUUAGCUUGCUAAGACUGAUGGCGACCGGCGCACGGGUGCGUAACGCGUAUACAACUUGCCUCACAGAGGGGGAUAACCCGUCGAAAGACGGACUAAUACCGCGUACACUUGGGAUAGGGCAUCCUGACCCAAGGAAAUGAAAUUCGCUGUGAGAUAGGCAUGCGUCCCAUUAGCUAGUUGGUGAGGUAACGGCUCACCAAGGCGACGAUGGGUAGGGGAACUGAGAGGUUGAACCCCCACACUGGUACUGAGACACGGACCAGACUCCUACGGGAGGCAGCAGUGAGGAAUAUUGGUCAAUGGGCGAGAGCCUGAACCAGCCAAGUCGCGUGAAGGAUGACUGUCUUAUGGAUUGUAAACUUCUUUUAUACGGGAAUAACAAGAGUCACGUGUGGCUCCCUGCAUGUACCGUAUGAAUAAGCAUCGGCUAACUCCGUGCCAGCAGCCGCGGUAAUACGGAGGAUGCGAGCGUUAUCCGGAUUUAUUGGGUUUAAAGGGUGCGUAGGCGGCCUGUUAAGUCAGCGGUGAAAUCUAGGAGCUUAACUCCUAAAUUGCCAUUGAUACUGGCGGGCUUGAGUGUAGAUGAGGUAGGCGGAAUGCGUGGUGUAGCGGUGGAAUGCAUAGAUAUCACGCAGAACUCCGAUUGCGAAGGCAGCUUACUAAGGUACAACUGACGCUGAAGCACGAAAGCGUGGGUAUCAAACAGGAUUAGAUACCCUGGUAGUCCACGCAGUAAACGAUGAUAACUGGGCGUAUGCGAUAUACAGUAUGCUCCUAAGCGAAAGCGUUAAGUUAUCCACCUGGGGAGUACGCCGGCA
This 821-nucleotide ribosomal RNA is filed under the name uncultured Porphyromonas sp. RNAcentral describes it as "bacterial SSU rRNA". It matches the Rfam family "Bacterial small subunit ribosomal RNA", at positions 72 to 890 of the family's 1533-position model. Lineage: Bacteria; Pseudomonadati; Bacteroidota; Bacteroidia; Bacteroidales; Porphyromonadaceae. The record is from RNAcentral.